RNAcentral lists this ribosomal RNA (337 nucleotides) under uncultured bacterium. RNAcentral's name for it is "bacterial SSU rRNA". It matches the Rfam family "Bacterial small subunit ribosomal RNA", at positions 181 to 507 of the family's 1533-position model. The record is from RNAcentral.
CGAUCUACGGAUGGAAANCGGGGGAUCGCAAGACCUCGCGCGAUUGGAGCGGCCGAUAUCAGAUUAGGUAGUUGGUGAGGUAAAGGCUCACCAAGCCGACGAUCUGUAGCUGGUCUGAGAGGACGACCAGCCACACUGGGACUGAGACACGGCCCAGACUCCUACGGGAGGCAGCAGUGGGGAAUUUUGGACAAUGGGCGCAAGCCUGAUCCAGCAAUGCCGCGUGCAGGAUGAAGGCCUUCGGGUUGUAAACUGCUUUUGUACGGAACGAAACGGUGAGCUCUAAUACAGUUUGCUAAUGACGGUACCGUAAGAAUAAGCACCGGCUAACUACGUG